GACGUAGGGCGCGAGCGUUGUCCGGAUUUAUUGGGCGUAAAGAGCUCGUAGGCGGCUUGUCGCGUCGUCCGUGAAAACCCACAGCUCAACUGUGGGCUUGCGGUCGAUACGGGCAGGCUAGAGUUCGGUAGGGGAGACUGGAAUUCCUGGUGUAGCGGUGAAAUGCGCAGAUAUCAGGAGGAACACCGGUGGCGAAGGCGGGUCUCUGGGUAGUAACUGACGCUGAGGAACGAAAGCGUGGGUAGCGAACAGG
RNAcentral lists this ribosomal RNA (253 nucleotides) under uncultured bacterium. RNAcentral's name for it is "partial 16S ribosomal RNA". It matches the Rfam family "Bacterial small subunit ribosomal RNA", at positions 524 to 776 of the family's 1533-position model. The record is from RNAcentral.